RNAcentral lists this ribosomal RNA (387 nucleotides) under Triticum aestivum (bread wheat). RNAcentral's name for it is "partial small subunit ribosomal RNA". The record is from RNAcentral. Lineage: Eukaryota; Viridiplantae; Streptophyta; Magnoliopsida; Poales; Poaceae.
AUGUCGGCGGAGGCGGCGGCGACCGGCGAGGAGGUUCCACGGAAGGGCAAAAGGAAGCUGGCGGCGUUCGAGGAGAAGCCGCGCUGGCAUUGGGCGGACCCACUCCCGAUGCCCGGUACCACGACUGAAGACGCAGAGCUGCGGAGGAGGAUCAAGGCGGCGCUGCUGGGCUUCCCGGGGUCUGGGGCGUUGAGCGCGGAGCAGAUGGAGCUAGCCAUUGACAGGAUCAUGAAGGAGUCCAAGCCCGAGACCAAGUCUGUGGCGGCCCCAGGCAUGGUUCGGUUACGGAAUGAACAGAUCCGUCUCUGGUUGAUGUUGAAGAACCCCACCACCGUCUUAAGUCGCAAAAAAAAAGAACCCCGCCGUCGACGAUAUCCUCGGAGUUGA